This 253-nucleotide ribosomal RNA is filed under the name uncultured bacterium. RNAcentral describes it as "partial 16S ribosomal RNA". It matches the Rfam family "Bacterial small subunit ribosomal RNA", at positions 524 to 776 of the family's 1533-position model. The record is from RNAcentral.
UACAGAGGGUGCGAGCGUUGUCCGGAAUCACUGGGCGUAAAGGGCGCGUAGGUGGUGGCUUAAGCGUGCGGUGAAAGCUCGGGCUCAACCCGAGUCGGCCGUGCGAACUGGCUCACUGGAGCAUAGUAGAGGCAGGUGGAAUUCCGGGUGUAGCGGUGGAAUGCGCAGAUAUCAGGAGGAACACCGAUGGCGAAGGCAGGUCUCUGGGCCACUACUGACGCUGGAGAAGCGGAAAGCAUGGGGAGCGAACAGG